Non-coding RNA from Ictidomys tridecemlineatus (thirteen-lined ground squirrel), 72 nucleotides. NCBI's taxonomy places the organism in Eukaryota, Metazoa, Chordata, Mammalia, Rodentia, Sciuridae. The record is from Rfam.
GGGGUUGUGGCUCAGUGGUACAGCGCCCGCCUAGCAUGCAUGAGGCACUGGGUUCGAUUCUCAGCACCACCU